CCAACGGCCCUCUUUAGGGCCACAUAUGUGGGUAAAAACGCUCUC
Oesophagostomum dentatum (nodular worm) is the source of this 45-nucleotide non-coding RNA. The record is from Rfam. Lineage: Eukaryota; Metazoa; Nematoda; Chromadorea; Rhabditida; Strongylidae.